Pseudophryne corroboree (corroboree frog) is the source of this 762-nucleotide long non-coding RNA. RefSeq lists it as uncharacterized. NCBI's taxonomy places the organism in Eukaryota, Metazoa, Chordata, Amphibia, Anura, Myobatrachidae. The transcript has 2 exons. The record is from RefSeq and is a predicted model, not a curated record.
GGAAGUCCGGAGCGGCACCCGCCAGUCAGUCUCUGCGCACGCCUGUGCAACUGAGGCAUAACUUUCUUGGUGCGAUCAUUACAUGACUGUUUGAUACGAAGCAACUGAUUAUCCAGAUAGCUGUCUUUAAGCACUGAUACCUCACACCUCUUCCUUAACCCAGUAAGCUGAAUGGUUGACAACUGCUGAAAAUGGAGGCACAUGUACCUCAUACCUCUACAUAGCAGCGACUGUGAUCCAUAUUAAAGUGUUUCUGCUAAUGUACUUCUUACUGCACUGCAAAACCCUUGUGAGAUAUGAUGCAAUGGAAGGUAGUAUGGCUUGCGCCAAGAAAUUCUAAAAGGGGAUGAUUAAGAUGUGCAGACAGGAACAGCAGAAGCAUUCAACUAAGCUCCUCAGAUAGAGGUAUAAAAAAGACAAUUGGUUCCAGCGCUGUCUUAAAUUUCAACUGAUGAUUGCUUUGGAGGACCUCCAACCAGAUAUCCCGAGAGUGUAUGUAAAAUAAGAAGUUGGCAAAAAAUAGAGUACACUGUUUCAAAAAAUAAGAGUGUUGAAAAAAAUUAGGAGGACACUCACACUUUAGAGGCUUAAGUAUGACAUUGGAAAAUGUUGCACUGUUUUCCUGUGGUGGUUGUAUGAGCAACAUGGAAUAGUUGUGUGGUGCUUGGAACAUUGGUCUAAUUUCAAGGAACAAUGAAAAUAUUGGAAAAGUAUAUUGUGUGUAUUGUCUUUCAAAUAAAUAAAGUAACACUGAAACAGCAA